GCCCCUGUAGCUCAGUGGAUCAGAGCGUCUGACUUCGGAUCAGAAGGCCGCGGGUUCGAGUCCUGCCGGGGGCG
This 74-nucleotide transfer RNA is filed under the name Dehalococcoidia bacterium. Its description in RNAcentral is "tRNA-Arg". It matches the Rfam family "tRNA". Rfam says of the family: Transfer RNA (tRNA) molecules are approximately 80 nucleotides in length. The record is from RNAcentral. Lineage: Bacteria; Bacillati; Chloroflexota; Dehalococcoidia.